GACGAACGCUGGCGGCGUGCCUAAUACAUGCAAGUAGAACGCUGAAGAGAGGAGCUUGCUCUUCUUGGAUGAGUUGCGAACGGGUGAGUAACGCGUAGGUAACCUGCCUUGUAGCGGGGGAUAACUAUUGGAAACGAUAGCUAAUACCGCAUAACAAUGGAUGACACAUGUCAUUUAUUUGAAAGGGGCAAUUGCUCCACUACAAGAUGGACUUGCGUUGUAUUAGCUAGUAGGUGAGGUAAUGGCUCACCUAGGCGACGAUACAUAGCCGACCUGAGAGGGUGAUCGGCCACACUGGGACUGAAACACGGCCCAGACUCCUACGAGAGGCAGCAGUAGGGAAUCUUCGGCAAUGGGGGCAACCCUGACCGAGCAACGCCGCGUGAGUGAAGAAGGUUGUCGGAUCGUAAAGCUCUGUUGUAAGUCAAGAACGGGUGUGAGAGUGGAAAGUUCACACUGUGACGGUAGCUUACCAGAAAGGGACGGCUAACUACGUG
This 497-nucleotide ribosomal RNA is filed under the name uncultured bacterium. Its description in RNAcentral is "partial 16S ribosomal RNA". It matches the Rfam family "Bacterial small subunit ribosomal RNA", at positions 28 to 507 of the family's 1533-position model. The record is from RNAcentral.